UUUCCGUCGCGUAUUUGUGUCUGUGUGUGUAACGAAAAGUUUUUGUGUAAAUAAAAUAUUUGAAACUUUCACUUCAACAUGGCGUUACACAAACACGCGCUUUCUUUUGAACGUUUGACCAAAUAAAUGGCGUUGCUCAGUGGUUACCAAUAUUAGCUGAAACAUUUGAUGACGCGUGACUGGACGACUGCUCCGUCGUUUGCAGACUCCAUCUUGUCUUCUGUGAACGUUAUAUGCUUAUUCCGAAAGGUCCAUACGAAACAUACUUAUUACCUGUGGCUAUCUGCUGUGUCCAUAGAGGGGAAUCGAACCCUCUGAGUUUAGCGUUGUAAAUCCGAAGACUUACCAUUUCAGUGCCAACCAGGGUUCCUCAGGAUCGCCCACGUAGAGCUUGGUGGGUACAUUGAACCUUCGAAGGUGGGAUACACCUGAUUAUACAAGCUUUCUUGAUGAUAUUUCAUUCUGACUGCUUAGAAGUAUUACUCGUACUAUCAUUACAUGAUCUAUUCAUGCCAGACUCGUGGGUAGGCGAGGUAAGCAAUCGCCAAUGGUGGCAAAAGUGUCUCCCUGGUUACAGUUGCCACGACAACCUAAUCUCUUCCAAUAAGGUGAGUCUCGGUAGGCGGGUCGAUUCUGA
This is a long non-coding RNA of Limulus polyphemus (Atlantic horseshoe crab), 637 nucleotides long. RefSeq lists it as uncharacterized. The transcript is spliced from 4 exons. The record is from RefSeq and is a predicted model, not a curated record. Lineage: Eukaryota; Metazoa; Arthropoda; Merostomata; Xiphosura; Limulidae.